This 74-nucleotide transfer RNA is filed under the name Flavobacteriaceae bacterium. Its description in RNAcentral is "tRNA-Arg". It matches the Rfam family "tRNA". From Rfam's summary of the family: Transfer RNA (tRNA) molecules are approximately 80 nucleotides in length. Their secondary structure includes four short double-helical elements and three loops (D, anti-codon, and T loops). The record is from RNAcentral. Lineage: Bacteria; Pseudomonadati; Bacteroidota; Flavobacteriia; Flavobacteriales; Flavobacteriaceae. RNAcentral also lists the same sequence under 1 other name.
GGCCUCGUAGCUUAAUUGAAUAGAGCACUUGAUUACGGCUCAAGAGGUUACAGGUUUGAGUCCUGUCGAGGUCA